Molecule: ribosomal RNA, 429 nt
Filed under: Chloroflexota bacterium
Lineage: Bacteria; Bacillati; Chloroflexota
Description: Chloroflexi bacterium partial 16S ribosomal RNA
Rfam family: Bacterial small subunit ribosomal RNA
Source: RNAcentral
UGGGGAAUAUUGCACAAUGGGCGCAAGCCUGAUGCAGCCAUGCCGCGUGUAUGAAGAAGGCCUUCGGGUUGUAAAGUACUUUCAGUCGGGAGGAAGGUGGUAAGGUUAAUAACCUUAUCAAUUGACGUUACCGACAGAAGAAGCACCGGCUAACUCCGUGCCAGCAGCCGCGGUAAUACGGCGGGUGCAAGCGUUAAUCGGAAUUACUUGGCGUAAAGCGCACGCAGGCGGUUGAUUGAGUCAGAUGUGAAAUCCCCGGGCUUAACCCGGGAAUUGCAUCUGAUACUGGUCAGCUAGAGUCUUGUAGAGGGGGGUAGAAUUCCAUGUGUAGCGGUGAAAUGCGUAGAGAUGUGGAGGAAUACCGGUGGCGAAGGCGGCCCCCUGGACAAAGACUGACGCUCAGGUGCGAAAGCGUGGGGAGCAAACAGG